GUGUCAGCAGCCGCGGUAAGACGAACCUUUCUAACGUUAUUCUGAAUUACUGGGCGUAAAGCGUGCGCAGGCGGUUUUGUAAGCCAGAUGUGAAAUCCCCGGGCUUAACCUGGGAAUGGCAUUUGGGACUGCAAGGCUGGAGUGCGGCAGAGGAGACUGGAAUUCCUGGUGUAGCAGUGAAAUGCGUAGAUAUCAGGAGGAAUACCGAUGGCGAAGGCAGGUCUCUGGGCUGACACUGACGCUCAUGCACGAAAGCGUGGGGAGCAAACAGGAUUAGAAACCCUAGUAGUCC
This 292-nucleotide ribosomal RNA is filed under the name uncultured bacterium. RNAcentral's name for it is "partial 16S ribosomal RNA". It matches the Rfam family "Bacterial small subunit ribosomal RNA", at positions 505 to 796 of the family's 1533-position model. The record is from RNAcentral.